This 603-nucleotide ribosomal RNA is filed under the name Pseudomonas taiwanensis. Its description in RNAcentral is "bacterial SSU rRNA". It matches the Rfam family "Bacterial small subunit ribosomal RNA", at positions 157 to 755 of the family's 1533-position model. Lineage: Bacteria; Pseudomonadati; Pseudomonadota; Gammaproteobacteria; Pseudomonadales; Pseudomonadaceae. The record is from RNAcentral.
GGAACGCUAAUACCGCAUACGUCCUACGGGAGAAAGCAGGGGACCUUCGGGCCUUGCGCUAUCAGAUGAGCCUAGGUCGGAUUAGCUAGUUGGUGAGGUAAUGGCUCACCAAGGCGACGAUCCGUAACUGGUCUGAGAGGAUGAUCAGUCACACUGGAACUGAGACACGGUCCAGACUCCUACGGGAGGCAGCAGUGGGGAAUAUUGGACAAUGGGCGAAAGCCUGAUCCAGCCAUGCCGCGUGUGUGAAGAAGGUCUUCGGAUUGUAAAGCACUUUAAGUUGGGAGGAAGGGUAGUUAGUUAAUACCUUGCUGUUUUGACGUUAUCGACAGAAUAAGCACCGGCUAACUCUGUGCCAGCAGCCGCGGUAAUACAGAGGGUGCAAGCGGUUAAUCGGAAUUACUGGGCGUAAAGCGCGCGUAGGUGGUUCGUUAAGUUGGAUGUGAAAGCCCCGGGCUCAACCUGGGAACUGCAUCCAAACUGGCGAGCUAGAGUACGGUAGAGGGUGGUGGAAUUUCCUGUGUAGCGGUGAAAUGCGUAGAUAUAGGAAGGAACACCAGUGGCGAAAGCGACCACCUGGACUGAUACUGACACUGAGGUGCG